GGCGGACGGGUAAGUAAUGUCUGGGAAACUGCCCGAUGGAGGGGGGUAACUACUGGAAACGGUAGCUAAUACCGCAUAACGUCGCAAGACCAAGAGGGGAACCUUCGGGCCUCUUGCCAUCGGAUGUGCCCAGAUGGGAUUAGCUAGUAGGUGGGGUAACGGCUCACCUAGGCGACGAUCCCUAGCUGGUCUGAGAGGAUGACCAGCCACACUGGAACUGAGACACGGUCCAG
This 233-nucleotide ribosomal RNA is filed under the name uncultured bacterium. RNAcentral's name for it is "partial 16S ribosomal RNA". It matches the Rfam family "Bacterial small subunit ribosomal RNA", at positions 97 to 334 of the family's 1533-position model. The record is from RNAcentral.